CGGAAUCUACUUUUUCGUGGGGGAUAACGUAGGGAAACUUACGCUAAUACCGCAUACGACCUUCGGGUGAAAGCAGGGGACCUUCGGGCCUUGCGCGAUUGAAUGAGCCGAUGUCGGAUUAGCUAGUUGGCGGGGUAAAGGCCCACCAAGGCGACGAUCCGUAGCUGGUCUGAGAGGAUGAUCAGCCACACUGGAACUGAGACACGGUCCAGACUCCUACGGGAGGCAGCAGUGGGGAAUAUUGGACAAUGGGCGCAAGCCUGAUCCAGCCAUACCGCGUGGGUGAAGAAGGCCUUCGGGUUGUAAAGCCCUUUUGUUGGGAAAGAAAAGCAGCAGGCUAAUACCCCGCUGUUCUGACGGUACCCAAAGAAUAAGCACCGGCUAACUUCGUGCCAGCAGCCGCGGUAAUACGAAGGGUGCAAGCGUUACUCGGAAUUACUGGGCGUAAAGCGUGCGUAGGUGGUUGUUUAAGUCUGUUGUGAAAGCCCUGGGCUCAACCUGGGAACUGCAGUGGAAACUGGAUGACUAGAGUGUGGUAGAGGGUAGCGGAAUUCCCGGU
RNAcentral lists this ribosomal RNA (559 nucleotides) under uncultured bacterium. RNAcentral describes it as "bacterial SSU rRNA". It matches the Rfam family "Bacterial small subunit ribosomal RNA", at positions 119 to 674 of the family's 1533-position model. The record is from RNAcentral.